Molecule: small nuclear RNA, 104 nt
Filed under: Peromyscus maniculatus bairdii (prairie deer mouse)
Lineage: Eukaryota; Metazoa; Chordata; Mammalia; Rodentia; Cricetidae
Source: RNAcentral
GUGCUCGCUUCAGCAGCACAUAUACUAAAAUUGGAACGAUACAGAGAUUAGCAUGGCCCCUGCACAAGGAUGAUACGCAAAUUCAUGAAGCAUUCCAUAUUUUU